RNAcentral lists this transfer RNA (75 nucleotides) under Heliconius melpomene (postman butterfly). RNAcentral's name for it is "tRNA HMEL009835". The record is from RNAcentral. Lineage: Eukaryota; Metazoa; Arthropoda; Insecta; Lepidoptera; Nymphalidae.
UGACUCGUGGCGCAGGGGCACAAGUGUGCGACCAUAAAUAUUACAAGUUGUGGGUUCGAUUCCCACUCGAGGCAA